This is a long non-coding RNA of Mercenaria mercenaria, 506 nucleotides long. RefSeq lists it as uncharacterized. Lineage: Eukaryota; Metazoa; Mollusca; Bivalvia; Venerida; Veneridae. The transcript is spliced from 2 exons. The record is from RefSeq and is a predicted model, not a curated record.
UGACCGUACAGGGACAGUAAAUUGGGGAACCAGUAUCCCAUGGGACACACAUCUAAUAACUGUCUCGUGCUCUCAUCUGGACUGCAUACUAAUGUGGAAAACCAUUUUACAGGGUUCCGUCUUAUACAAAAUCAUACUGGUUAGUUGGAAAUCGUUUUGCAAGUUCCUGUCUGAUAUAUAAUUAUAUUGGCAGAUACAUAAACCAUUCUACAAGUUCUCGUCUGACACAUACAUGUAAAUAUACUUGCAGGCAGGAACACCAUUUUGCAAAUUCCAAUCUAACACAUCAUUAAACUGAUAGACUGGGAAGCAUUCUGCAAGUUCCCUACAGUUUUGAAAUAAUUAUUUCAGAAGACAUAGUUGCACAACGGAAGCUGAUUGCGGCCACUGCGCUCAUCACGAACAUGCGCAUUGUGUAGAUGGAACAUGCCAUUGUGCAGGAGGGCACUAGAUUGACUGCAAGUCUUAUAAAAAAAUCUACGUAUAAUAAAGGAAUUGCAAAUUAA